Molecule: ribosomal RNA, 468 nt
Filed under: uncultured bacterium
Lineage: Bacteria
Description: partial 16S ribosomal RNA
Rfam family: Bacterial small subunit ribosomal RNA
Source: RNAcentral
GACGAACGCUGGCGGCGUGCUUAACACAUGCAAGUCGAACGGAAAGGCCCUGCUUUUGUGGGGUGCUCGAGUGGCGAACGGGUGAGUAACACGUGAGUAACCUGCCCUUGCCUUUGGGAUAACUUCAGGAAACUGGGGCUAAUACCGGAUAGGAGCUCCUGCUGCAUGGUGGGGGUUGGAAAGUUUCGGCGGUUGGGGAUGGACUCGCGGCUUAUCAGCUUGUUGGUGGGGUAGUGGCUUACCAAGGCUUUGACGGGUAGCCGUCCUGAGAGGGUGACCGGCCACAUUGGGACUGCGAUACGGCCCAGACUCCUACGGGAGGCAGCAGUGGGGAAUAUUGCGCAAUGGGCGGAAGCCUGAAGCAGCAACGCCGCGUGCGGGAUGACGGCCUUCGGGUUGUAAACCGCUUUCGCCUGUGACGAAGCGUGAGUGACGGUAAUGGGUAAAGAAGCACCGGCUAACUACGUG